This 81-nucleotide microRNA precursor is filed under the name Callithrix jacchus (white-tufted-ear marmoset). Lineage: Eukaryota; Metazoa; Chordata; Mammalia; Primates; Cebidae. The record is from RNAcentral.
GUGUGUGGUACCCUGCUGCAGAGUGGGCAAUCAUUUAUAAUAAAAAAUGAUUGACACAUCUGCAGGUAGAGUACUGCAUGA